RNAcentral lists this ribosomal RNA (555 nucleotides) under Suillus luteus. RNAcentral's name for it is "eukaryotic LSU rRNA". The stretch from base 165 to 319 matches the Rfam family "5.8S ribosomal RNA". Lineage: Eukaryota; Fungi; Basidiomycota; Agaricomycetes; Boletales; Suillaceae. The record is from RNAcentral.
GGCAUCUAGGGCCAUGUGCACGCUCUCUUCCGGACCUUUCGCCGUAUGGGCGCGGGGCGACCCGCGUCUUCAUAUACCUCUUCGUGUAGAAAGUCUUUGAAUGUUUUACCAUCAUCGAGUCGCGACUUCUAGGAGACGCGAUUCUUUGAGAAAAAAGUUAUUACAACUUUCAGCAACGGAUCUCUGCGUACUCGCAUCGAUGAAGAACGCAGCGAAUCGCGAUAUGUAAUGUGAAUUGCAGAUCUACAGUGAAUCAUCGAAUCUUUGAACGCACCUUGCGCUCCUCGGUGUUCCGAGGAGCAUGCCUGUUUGAGUGUCAGUAAAUUCUCAACCCCUCUCGAUUUGCUUCGAGCGGGUGCUUGGAUGUUGGGGGCUGCCGGAGACACUGGAYUCGUCCAGGACUCGGGCUCCUCUUAAAUGAAUCGGCUCGCGGUCGACUUUCGACUUUGCAUGACAAGGCCUUUGGCGUGAUAAUGAUCGCCGUUCGCCGAAGUGCAAGACAGAAUGGUCCCGUGCCUCUAAUGCGUCGACGCCUCUAGGGGCGUCUUCCUCAUU